Long non-coding RNA from Sphaeramia orbicularis (orbiculate cardinalfish), 2043 nucleotides. RefSeq lists it as uncharacterized. The record is from RefSeq and is a predicted model, not a curated record. Lineage: Eukaryota; Metazoa; Chordata; Actinopteri; Kurtiformes; Apogonidae. The transcript is spliced from 2 exons.
GUAGUAACAACAAUAAAUGACUAAUAAGUAAUGUAAAUAUGUAAGUGUUAAUAGUGAUAAUAAUAAUAAUAAGCAAUAUGAAAAUUAAAUUGACAGUGACGACAAAUAAAAUAUUUCACACUAGAUAAAGUCUGUUGCACAACUUUAAAAUCCCACUUCCACUGGUGGAGCAUUAGACACCUGCUCUAUUUGACCCACCUAUGGAAGCCUGGGGCAGUAAAUACAAAAACUACAAUUACAUCAACUCUAUAAAAGGUAAUUAUGUAUAGAAUAUGAAAUAAUACAUUUUUAUUUCAAAGAUAUUACAAUAAAAACCACCUCACGGGGUCAUUUUGACCCACUUAUGCAUCUAAGGGUUAAUAAAACAUGGCCUUUUGUUUAAGCCGAGUUCGUUUUCUGAUCGGAAUAAAACCACAGAAAUAAUACGACUGACGCCAGUUUGCUUCGGUAGGUGCAGAGAAAGCAAAGGAAGAGCAAAGCCGGGCUUCCUGGGAGAUGGAUGUUGUAACAAAAGUCAAUAAAAAAACACAAAAACAGUGACUUUUUAUCGGCCUCUUAAAGGAAAAGAACAACAUUGACAACCUUUGAGAAUGCAUCAAACCCAGUGGAGGGUUCCAGAAGUAUAAUUUUCCAUGUCUUUUGGCUCCACGGUGGAAUGUGCCCGGCCUUGAACGGGCCUCGUUUCCCUGUGGUUUCUUUGUUCUCUGCCAGUUUGUGUUUAUGUGGUUUUUCGGGACUUGAUCGAGUCCCAAACUCCGCUUCAGAUCUCAGCGCUGGCUCUAUAAAACCUAAACCAGAGAAGGGCCCAGGAGCUGCCAGCUGCAGGAAUCCAUCUGGGUUCACACCCUGUCACUGUGUCUGCAUCUGAACUGAACCACCACCACCCCCCCACCUCCAUCCCAUCAUGCAUUUGGACUGUAGUAGAGUUUAAGUCUGGGUGUUAAAUGUGUGAGUCCGGGGUUGGAGGUGGAUCAGGUAAUGAGUACCUGCUGCCGUCUGGUACCGUUCCACUGCUGGUUUCAAUCAGAACCACAUUCAGACAGGAAGCCUCUGCUGAUUGGACCUGUGGUGUCUGUUACCGAGCCUGAACCCACUCAAACCGACUUUUAUCGCACACUCACAAUAUUUGUCUGAUAGAAGUCGAAGGUAGCAGUUGGAACAUGUGGGAUCAGGCUGGCAUCGUCUCCACUGAAAAGACCAAAACCAACACAAUUACUUUUACGCAGUUAUAGUCUGGCUUUAAAUAAUCCGAAUAAGUGGGAAUAUAUUAACAAUCUGUGAGAAACCGCUUUCGUUUGGUCGCCAUUCCCACAAAGCACUUAGCGACAAAGUUUCCGAUAAGGCCUGAGUGGCGUUUGGGUUUGUUAUGUAAACAAGCAGACUGUGUUUAUGUUGCAGUCAUCUUCAAAGUUGUUCAAAAACAAAUGGAUUAGUGAUAAUUAGGAUGUGACUAGGGUUUUAUAAAUUUCAAAAACAAAUUGUGAUGAAAGUCGUACGCUGCUUUAAACAUCCAUUUCCAAGCUGAAAAAAAGAAAAAAAGAGAGAAAAAAGAGAAAAGUACUGUAGUACCCCACCCACCCACACUGGUCCACAUUCACUUAAUUGUGUUAUAGCUAUUCUAUUCUGUUGUGUUUUCUAUAGAAUCAUCAUUAUUUCUAAUAUAAAUCUUUAAAAAUUGACGAUCAAUAUAAUAUCUAGUGAGAUUCAUAUUGACUUAAACAAUCUGCACUUUGAAGACCAGUUCUUUAUUUUAAACAAAAUGAAAAAUGAAUAAAAAUAAGUGAUCAUACAUUAUUUACUCGUCGUUCACUUUAUUGCAAAGGAGGAUAUAGCAAUGUUUAUGCACAUACUGCUGUUUUUAUUAUUUAUUUAAAAUAAAGAACUCUGAGGUGUUGGUAGUUUCCAGAAAAAUCAGAUCUAUAUUUAAUCAUCAGUUCAUUGUUGGUUUUGGUCUUUUGAUCGGAUUCGUCGACAGUAAAUGAAACAUUUUGUGGGAUUUAUUGGUUCAUGCUGGUGGAAUUAUUUUUACCCAGAAACAAAAAA